Long non-coding RNA from Rhinolophus ferrumequinum (greater horseshoe bat), 1157 nucleotides. RefSeq lists it as uncharacterized. NCBI's taxonomy places the organism in Eukaryota, Metazoa, Chordata, Mammalia, Chiroptera, Rhinolophidae. The transcript has 3 exons. The record is from RefSeq and is a predicted model, not a curated record.
UACAAAAGAGAGAGUAGCAAAGGGAAAAAUUAACAGAAGGAAGAUUCAGAAACAAAUGGCAGGUGCUUUGGAAAAGGCUGUGUCCUCAGAGCAUCCUGCAGAUGACAUGGAGAAUCCUGAGAUGAAAGGAAUGCAGUGAUGGCCUAAGACCUCUCUGCUUAUUCUCUUUCCCAUGUACAUGGCCCCAGCACCAGUGAGGUACUCGAAGGCUCUUGUCAUUGAGAAUGAAAUGACAGAGGGGAAGGUGUUAGCAGCUUAAAUAAAGAAUCAGAUGUGGAUCUACAACAAUGAGGAAACCAGAAAAGAGGAUGUGUGCUGGGGCCAAUCAGGAUGGAGCACCUGGAGUCAGGUGUCAUCUGUUUGAAGCCUGGCAACUUCCUUAGCUUACCUAGUGGGGUGGUAGGAGCUAGAAAGCCCAUGUUGUGGUCACCCAGACAGAUAACCCCAGGGCUUCAGGAGUCUGGGACUUUGGAAGUUGAAGACAGUAGAAGACAACAGACGUCCAGACUGGAAGAAAUGGAACUGGAGUAGACACACUUGACACACUUGACAGCCCACUCUGCCUUUGCCCUGCUUGCAACUUGACUUUGAGGUAAGAGAAUUUUGGGAAAUGAGGGUGCAAGUUCCUGCCCAUGAAACAAGGUUUUCUAAUGUAACCCAGGUCUCCUGGUCGACCAGGUUGGGUAAAAUGACGCCCUUCCUUGCAUCGAGUGUUGCAUCGAGGUCCACCACCUGGUGCCCCUCGUUCCUCCAUUAGCAGAAAGUUCACACUUCCCCUGGCCCGGUCAUCCUUUGUCAUCGCAGAGCCCCAGGGGGCUUCCCUGGUGCAUGGAUCCGUCCUAUUCCCUCCUCCCUUAGGGGAAGAACCAGAAGUCUGGUCAUUUCAUCAAAGAGACUCUUUUCUGCUGUUGUUACCACUGCAUGGUGUACCUAGAAGACCAGCAUCCCACCAAGGGCUUGCCCACUUUAAGAAGGAAGCCACAUCUUCAGCAACCUUCAAGCUUCGUAUACCAGUGAUCUGGGGACUGAUGCUCCUCCAUCUGCUCUAGAGCUAUAGCUCCUCCCUCUGCAUUUCCAAACUAGGCCUCUUAAUCACAUCCCUUUGACAGAACUUUCCGUAUAACCUUGCUGUUAUUUUUUUUAUAUGUCUCUGUCUC